AGUGAACGCUGGCGGCAGGCCUAACACAUGCAAGUCGAACGGCAGCACAGCAGUAGCAAUACUGUGGGUGGCGAGUGGCGGACGGGUGAGGAAUACAUCGGAAUCUGCCUAGUCGUGGGGGAUAACGUAGGGAAACUUACGCUAAUACCGCAUACGACCUACGGGUGAAAGCGGGGGAUCGCAAGACCUCGCGCGAUUAGAUGAGCCGAUGUCCGAUUAGCUAGUUGGCGGGGUAAUGGCCACCAAGGCGACGAUCGGUAGCUGGUCUGAGAGGAUGAUCAGCCACACUGGAACUGAGACACGGUCCAGACUCCUACGGGAGGCAGCAGUGGGGAAUAUUGGACAAUGGGCGCAAGCCUGAUCCAGCCAUGCCGCGUGGGUGAAGAAGG
Molecule: ribosomal RNA, 389 nt
Filed under: uncultured bacterium
Lineage: Bacteria
Description: bacterial SSU rRNA
Rfam family: Bacterial small subunit ribosomal RNA
Source: RNAcentral